CGUAUACGUUGCCCUCUUCUCUCUCUCUCUCUGUCUCCUUUUUUCCUCCUCGAAAAAGCUUCGUGUACUCUUUUGUCUUCCCCAAAAACACCAACGAACCACACACACACACGCACAGAUGUACACACGUACCGGAAUCAUGAUGAGAAAAAAAAGCCAAUCCAAAGCAAACCACAGUUCAUUAGAGAGACUUUAAAGAGUCAAGAGACUCCUCCUUCCAACUUCUAUCCAUCCAUCAAAGCUCUGUCUUUCUCUCUCUCACUUCCUUUCCAUUCCUUAUUUGGCCCUUUUUUGGUGCAAUUUCUUGGGUGCCCGUCGGCACUGUUUGAUUUGUUCUGAGAGAAGUCAGGCUCGGGCGGCGUGUUUUCGACACCUGUACGUCAUGCAUGAGAGAGGAGCAGGGAAUACAAGGGAGGCAGUAGUGAAAGAAGAGAGAGAGAGAGGGUUUGUUUGUUUAUUUUCUGUUUUUCUUUUUCUUGGGUUUGUGGCUUUUUUCUUGGUGUGGAAAAAACCCUAAAUCCUCAUUGAAAGUUUCCCAGUUUUUUUGCACCGAAAGAGAAUGGGAAUAUAGGAUCAUAGAUUUUGAGUGACUUUCAAUUGCUUUCCUUAAAUGGGUCUCACUGCGUUCUCAGAUCUGACUCAUAUCUUUUUUCCUUCUUUGAGUUUGUUCGCUGAAUCCUUUCGUUUCCACAUCUGGGAAUAAAGCCAUCUUUAUUCCUUUUUUCGCUUCUAAUUUCUGUUUGUUGUUUCCCUGGGACAUAGAAAUUGACAGAAGAGAGUGAGCACACAGAGGUAGAUGGUAUAAGUCUAUGCUAUUUCUUUUGCGUGCUCACUUCUCUUUCUGUCAGAUUCCGGUGCCGGAGGAGGCCUGCCAUUGUUCCAGAUCCUCUCUUUAUUUUUCUAUUAUUUUAUUAUUUUUAUUGUUCUCUUUUUAAUAUUUUCGAUCUCCUUGAUCUUUCUCGUGGCGUUGUGAGACUUGAUCAAAUAGAGGGUUGAAAGGGUGUGUGUCAAACAGUGCAUCUAGAGUAGUAGUCUAUUGUUUGAAAUUUUUGACGAAUAAUUAUAUGUUACAGUGGUGAUUGUGUAUUGAAAGCGUGACUUUUGAUGGCGUUUUCAUGAGAAGGUGUGCCUGAUUAAUUACUGUGCGGAUUAAGCGGCAAAUUAUCUUGUUUAUAUAUCAUGGGACCAUUCCCGUUAUGUAGGAGUAUAUAGUAUGGUCCUCACCAACCCUCCUUCCUUUCUCCUUUCACCUUCUUCUUUCUAUCGCCGUUCCCUUUUUUUUAUUCCUGCGCAUGCGUUUUUCACUCGAUAAUUGGUUCUGAUUGGAUUUUGUUUUCACCUGAAUCUACCCAGAUUCUGCUUCCUUGUUACCUCCCUUCAGAUAGAUGUUUUUUUUUUUUUUUUAAUGGGUUUGAAACCCUAUUCUGGCAAAAGGGUUUUCUAGGUCUAAGAAAACAACUAAUUUUCUGAGCAUCUUUCAUCUUUUGGUUAGGUUAUGGUGAUGAUCAGAAUUUAACAGCUAUGGCCUUUAUUUUGCCUGUGUAUUUAGAGUUUGUUUUGCAGGCAGGUAGGCACGAAUGCGUCAACUCAGAUAUCAAAAACUUGUCAACCAGGUUUUGGGCAUGCUUCCAUUAACUUUAUUUGUUGCACUUGUAGCUUCCACUUCUUCCAAUAAGUAUAUAACUACAUAUAAAUAUAUUAAAUAUAUAUUGGAAACCAAGUUUUUUUUUUUAAUAGGGAGAUGGUUGAUGAUGAGGUGAAGAGCAGACUGAAAUUACAGGCCAGACAGCUCGAGUUGUUUUUCAACAGAGCUUUAGUGUUCCUGCCAAAUGCUUUGGGUUGCCAAAAUGGAAUGUUCGAAUGAUCCUAUGUUUGUCAAGUGUUAAUUCUUUCUCUUAAUGUUAAAGUGAUCCUGAAAUCAUGGGCUGUCUGGUGCAUAAGAAAUUGAUUGAAAGAAGAAGCUUCCUUGUCAUUACUUGAAGUCAUGGAUCUUCAAUGUACAUGGGUGAUGGAUUAGCCCCAAGCCUAAGCUAUGGAGCUAGCUAGCUUUCCAUGCAUAGAGAAAGUUGAGAAAUCGGCUAGCCUUUGGAGCUUUCUUCUUUGAGGAAGUAAAAGGACCAGUGGGUCAUGAUAUGAUAAAAGAUGGUCAAGAUGUGUUGAUGGAGGUAUUACUCACCAACUGGGAUCGGGAAUCGUGGUGUUUGGUUAUGGAAGAUUUGCAGAUGAGCGAUGUAUGGUGAGUUGAUUGGGUUUCGAGGUUUAGCGGUCGUGGAUUGUGUCGUUUUUGCAGUGGUUAACAGGAUGUGGAACAUGAUGAUCAUCAGCUUUGUGCUUGGUGGCCUGCGUUGAAUAUACUCUGCCGAUUGCUUAUUGUGCAUGCACAGUCGAAGAGGAUCGAUCAAAAGUAGUGUUUCUGUUUCUUUUUUCUUUUUUAAGUGGAUAAGUUAGUUUUUAUUAAUUCUCAAAACAAGCAUUAGGGUUCCCUAAGCCCCAAAGCUCAACACAACCUACUCCCUUGUUCAAGGAGAUCAUAUUUGAGCUUGGGGUUUGCCUCAGUGUUCUAGCUUGUAAAUCUUUCUGUCUAUAAAAUUCUUAUUUACACAAAAAAGAAAAAAACAACAUGAGGGACUCUAGAUCCUACAAAUUAAAGGGUAUGGAAUGACCAAUUCAGGUGUUCACACCAUGAGAGAUCGAGAAUAGAUUUCUACUUUUGUGCA
This is a long non-coding RNA of Alnus glutinosa, 2717 nucleotides long. RefSeq lists it as uncharacterized. The transcript is spliced from 7 exons. Lineage: Eukaryota; Viridiplantae; Streptophyta; Magnoliopsida; Fagales; Betulaceae. The record is from RefSeq and is a predicted model, not a curated record.